CAGCCGUAAACGAUGCUCGCUAGGUGUAUCGGUGACCACGAGUUACCGAGGUGCCGAAGGGAAACCGUGAAACGUGCCGCCUGGGAAGUACGGUCGCAAGGCUGAAACUUAAAGGAAUUGGCGGGGGAGCACCGCAACGGGAGGAGCGUGCGGUUUAAUUGGAUUCAACACCGUAAAACUCACCAGGGAAGACUGUUACAUGAAGGCCGAGAUGAAGACUCUGCUAGAUUUUCAGAGAGGUGGUGCAUGGCGUCAGUGACU
RNAcentral lists this ribosomal RNA (261 nucleotides) under uncultured archaeon. RNAcentral's name for it is "partial 16S ribosomal RNA". It matches the Rfam family "Archaeal small subunit ribosomal RNA", at positions 748 to 1008 of the family's 1478-position model. The record is from RNAcentral.